Zingiber officinale is the source of this 3159-nucleotide RNA transcript. It is a transcript of the gene named transcription factor PIF3-like, with no coding region annotated. The transcript is spliced from 8 exons. Lineage: Eukaryota; Viridiplantae; Streptophyta; Magnoliopsida; Zingiberales; Zingiberaceae. The record is from RefSeq and is a predicted model, not a curated record.
CAUAAGAAGAAGAAAAAAUCAAGUGUAGGUUUAGGCUUUAUGUUGAAUCUAGGGUUUUCAGUGACUCCUAGAAUAUCUAGGUCCACCACUACGUUGCUAUCAAAGAAGAAACAGUAGGCCUAAUCUUCAGUUCUAGAAUUUUGUUGCUACACACAGACACACAAUUUCAUGGCCUAAGGCUUCAGGAUAAGAACUGGGAGUCUGUACCUUGAGUAUUCGCGCUAUGUUGCCAGAAAGCAAGACAAGACGUGGAUAAGCAAGUAAAGAGUAAAAAGAUAGAGGAAAAAGAGAUCAAUUACCUGGCUUUGUGCCCUUGUGCUCUGCUCUGCCCUGCCCUGCCAAUUAAUGGUGUUGGGAUCAAGGUCCAGCUGCCGAGCAGUCAGGAGAUAUCACCAUUUAGAAGAGUUUUCUUCAGGAAUUUCAAAUACUGGAGUUCCCUUCAGCGAUUUUUGCACUGUCGAAGCUUUUUUGUUUUUAUUAUUCUCCUCCUUUGGAGUCUUAACUUGCUGUUAGCGCCUUUGCAUCUGCUCAUUUUCCUCCUCUGGGACACAGUGGAUGCUUGUAAAGUGUGAGAUCUAGAAGCUGAGCUGAAACAUUGCAUAUCUUUGAGGCAGAAAAAAUAGGCUGAUAGGCUCCAAUUCUAUCAUGAACUCCUUCCGUGGAUGAUGAGGCAAGGGCAAGAAACCACACGACCAAAGAUGACAAAUGGAUCAUCGGAUCUGUUCUCUAUACCUGACGAUGAAUUCACUGAGUUGGUAUGGGAGAAUGGACAAAUUUUGAUGCAGAACCAGUCCAAUAAAGGUAGGAAGAGCUCUUGUGUAAGUAGUGGCUUCUCCCCCCGGUAUGGUACGGUACAAGAAAAGGAGAGCAGGGAAAAAGUUGGUAGUGGGCAUCCACCUUCAAGACAUUCUGCCAACAAUGGAGUGAAUGCUCAGGAUGAUGAUGUUGUGUCAUGGAUCAGUUAUCCGAUCGAGGAAAUUUUGCCAAGUGAGACUCUCCAGAAUGAUUAUUGUGCUGAGUUCUUGAAUGAGUUCUCGGCAUUUGAUGUGAAUCCUCUUUCAACGCACAGGAGUAAUGUUGCUGGAACCGGACGAACAGCCGGGUUAGGGCAAGAAGUUAGAAGCUCAAACAAUGUGGAACAUGGCCAUGUUGCUAAACCGCCUAAUUGGAGUAGUUUGGGCUCAAGCAGAAUCAGGGCCAGCCAUCUACAGCAAUGUCCAGCGUCAGCUCUUAAUUCAAAGUUGACAGUAGUUGACAUCAGAAGUAGUGAUGAUAAUGUAGCUCAAGAACCACAAUGCCAGGAUGUGAUGGACAGAAAGUUUCAGAAUCAGGAACUAGCAAGUUGCAAGCAGAUGCAACAACAAGGCGGUAUGGGAACUCUGAUGAACUUCUCACAUUUCAUAAGACCUGCUGCACUUGCCAAGGUUGGCCUCCAUAAUGCUACUGGACUGCAAAACAUUGAGAAAGCGUCGACUCCAAGCAGAAAUCCUGUCACCUUGACACUUGUUGAGAGAACUAGAGGUAGUAAGGAGGCUAAUAAGGUACAAGGGCAAUCAGGCUCAGGUCCACACAGGUUGGAAUUCGGAUCAACCAUGAAGAUUCUUCAAGGCAGAAACUCUGUUGAAUUUUCCAAUAAAAUUAGCGCGGGAGAUACUCUGAGGAACAAUACUGAGAAGCACACUAAAUUGCUAGAUGAUCUUCCAAGUUCGAGCUUUGCAGCCAGUGUGGCCUUGUGUAGGCAUGACAUCAGAAAAGAUCCUGAAGCAGUAAUACCAUCUUCAUCUGUGUGUUCAGAGAAUAUCACUGGAGCUGCAUCUAAUGAACCAAACCAUGGCAAGAAGAGAAAAGAAUAUGAUGCAGAAGAUUCUGAUUACCUCAGCCACAGCGAAGAUCUCCAAGAUGAAUCCAUCAAUAUAAGAAAACCGCCAAGUGGACGUGAUGCAAGAACAAAGAGAAGUCGGACUGCAGAAGUUCAUAACUUGUCAGAAAGACGGAGAAGGAACAGGAUUAAUGAGAAAAUGCGUGCACUGCAAGAACUUAUCCCCAACUGUAACAAGGUGGACAAAGCUUCAAUGCUUGAAGAGGCCAUUGAGUAUCUUAAAACACUUCAGAUGCAAGUUCAGCAAUUCUGUCAUACAAAACAGAUCAUGUCCAUGGGAAGCAGGCUGUACCUGCCACCCACUAUGAUGUUUCCACCAGCAAUGCAGCACAUGCGUGGACCAAUGGCCACUCAUUUCCCUCCAAUAGGUGUUGGAAUGGGGUCAGGCAUGGGAUUAGCCCCAGGUUGUCCCAUGAUUCCAAUUUCACCUAUGCAUGCAUCACAAUUUCUUUGCACUUCAAGUUCAGGGAUACCUGGCUUGAAUGGAGUACCAGGACCUGUAAAUCCUUCGAUAUUUGGAAUACAAGGUCAGGGAUUUCCAGUUUUGAUGCCCAGACCACAGCAGUUUGGUACAUUGGCAGGGUUUUCUUUGAAUACAAAUGCCGAGCCUGAGGUACAUACAGACAAUGCUGUUGGAGUUGCUAGUGACCAGCAAAAGCAGCAGAACUUGAAUGUAGAACCAAGCACAAGUACAGAUGAAACACAUAUGCAGGUAUCCACCCAGAUUCAUGAUUGUCGCGUGCACCUAUUUAUUUAAUCCAGAUACAUCAUGCUCGAUAGAUCUCAUCUCACUUAGCAUCACAUUAUUAGCUUUAACAAACCAAUCAUGCUUGAUUCUUGUUUCCAUAUAUCAACCAUUUCCAUUGGUUAAUGGCAGCGACAAAACACCACAUGUCUAUGUAAGUAGAUAGAUGGAGUAUUCAGAUUAUGGUAGAAGAAGGUUCCAGUCAUUAAUCAUUAACAAUGGACACUACUUGUGAAUCUCACAUGGGCACCCCAUGGAAAAGAUGGUGCAUAAAAUUUGCCAGACCUAGUUCUCGAACAAGGUUUGGCAUUGCAGCUCUGGCAAAUGUAGCUUGCUUGCUAGUGAAGCAUCACCUAUAAUUAUGAACCCAACCAAACAAGUUUUCUUCUUUUUGGGGGGUUAAUUUCUUAUGUAAUUGUCUAAGAGAUGUGUUAUCAUUGCUGCCAUCUAGUUUUCUUCCCUAGCAAUACAUCCUCGCUUACUUUUUGUUGUUGUAUGCUUGUUUUUGUGGGUAAUAGAUGAACUUGUUAGUUUA